RNAcentral lists this long non-coding RNA (1341 nucleotides) under Anas platyrhynchos platyrhynchos (common mallard). RNAcentral describes it as "lncRNA (ENSAPLG00000023127.1)". Lineage: Eukaryota; Metazoa; Chordata; Aves; Anseriformes; Anatidae. The record is from RNAcentral.
AUGGCAAGCACCGCCCGAGGGAUGCUCAGCACCAUUAAAACCAGUCCCACCACGGACAGAGGCUGGGAACCACCCCCAAACUUCCUCACCUGGUGCACGAGGAGUCCUUCCUCCACAGGCCGGCCCUGUGCUCUCAGGAAAGCUGCAGGAUUUUUUCCUGGAGGUGCUGAGGAACCCCCCCUUAGAGCAAGGCACUACAAGAGGGACCCCGAGAUCCCCCACGGCAUGCAAACACCAGCGGGUGGAGACCUGCUCGUGACCAAUCCUCCUGCAAUCCUCCCGUGUUCUCUGCCCCAGUGGGACCUGGCGUUACCCCAGCGUUGGGGCUGGGGCUGGGCAUCCACCUGCCCAGCAGCAGGACCCCCACGGGACCACCACAGGACCCCAGCAGCAGACCAGCCUCGUGCAUCCCAUCUCUGCCAUCUGCCUGCCCCGCCUUGGCCUCGCUCCGUGGCUUUCCACGAGCCACUGGCACGGCCCCAGCGAGCCCUGGGCCAGCGGGCAGUGGCCACAGAACAUUUUGGCAGCUGGGGCAGCCCCCUAACCAGGAAGGGGAGCAGGCAGGGGACAUCGGCAUGGGGGCUGCAUGCAGCACACGUGUGCCAGAGCCCUGUGCCACAGCAAGGGGCUGUGACACCCCGAGGGCUCCAAGGGAGAAGACACUCGACACGCCAGGGCCCCCACCGAACGCCACAGCUCCAAACCCAGCUGGCUCGGGCGAGCAGCCUCGUCAUGGCCGCAUGCAGCUCGUUGCCAUUUCUGCACGCCGGCUCGCCACACCGAGCCGAGCUCUUCACAGCUACAAAUCCUCCAUGGUACAGCCACCGGGGAGAGAAAGCCGGCGGAUGGGGACGCCGCCUCGCCCUGCUGGGGAUCAGCCCACGUCCCCCCCGCCAGCAGCGGCCACGACGGGAACGCGAGGGCCGGGCACGCCUGCACCCGGAGCCAGCGCAGCCCCAGCUCCGACCCGAAGCGUUGGCUGCUCGGAUGAAAAAAACCUCACGUGAUACCACGCCGGUGACGAGCUCUCGACCAUGCAGAGCCUUUCCCAGGCUCGGAGAUCAAACACAUCAAGCAAGGAAGCCGGGGGCUGCAAGCAGCUCGCGCACACCCUGCAGCAGCGUCCUAGGGGUGGGGGGCACAAAGCAGCACCAGGGCUGGGGCUCCCCACGCGUGCUGUCCCCAAGGUCAGCCCCUAGGAUGGAGCAGCGGUGCUGGGAGGGCAACCUCAGGGCUGAUUUAAAACUGGGCUGUGGCCAAAAACACACCGGGGCACCCCAAGGCGGUGGGUGCCCACCUGAAGGCAUGGGGCCACCCCACGCUGCGUGGCUUCACCGCUGA